Molecule: non-coding RNA, 29 nt
Filed under: Rattus norvegicus (Norway rat)
Lineage: Eukaryota; Metazoa; Chordata; Mammalia; Rodentia; Muridae
Source: RNAcentral
UCACAUUUUGCCAGUGUGUGCUCUUCUGA